AUUCCAGCUCCAAUAGCGUAUAUUAAAGUUGUUGCAGUUAAAAAGCUCGUAGUUGAACUUCUUGGCAUCCUUUAAGCUGGCUUCGGUCGUUUCAAGGGUGUCAAUCCGCUAGGGAACUACAUUCGCACUUCACUGUGCGGUGUAAGGAACUGGCAUUUUACUUAGAAAAAAUUAGAGUGUUCAAGGCAGGCUAUCGCCCUGAAUACACAAGCUUGGAAUAAUGAAAUAGGACUAUUUCCAUUUUAUUGGUUUGGAUUUAGUAAUGAUUAAUAGGGACAGUUGGGGGCAUUUGUAUUUAAUAGUCAGAGGCGAAAUUCUUGGAUUUAUUAAAGACAAACUUAUGCGAAAGCAUUUGCCAAGGAUGUUUUCAUUA
The sequence is a ribosomal RNA, 373 nucleotides long. It matches the Rfam family "Eukaryotic small subunit ribosomal RNA", at positions 582 to 975 of the family's 1831-position model.